Lysobacter capsici AZ78 is the source of this 57-nucleotide non-coding RNA. The record is from Rfam. NCBI's taxonomy places the organism in Bacteria, Pseudomonadati, Pseudomonadota, Gammaproteobacteria, Lysobacterales, Lysobacteraceae.
GCGGCACGCAUGGAUGCGUGCCGUAGGCCACCCAGGACAUGGAUGUCCUGUGUGGCC